Molecule: ribosomal RNA, 245 nt
Filed under: uncultured bacterium
Lineage: Bacteria
Description: partial small subunit ribosomal RNA
Rfam family: Bacterial small subunit ribosomal RNA
Source: RNAcentral
AGAAUCAACGCUGGCGGCGUGCCUAACACAUGCAAGUCGCACGAGAAAGGGGCUUCGGUCCUGAGUAAAGUGGCGCACGGGUGAGUAACACGUGAAUCAUCUACCUCCGAGUGGGGAAUAACCUAGAGAAAUCUGGGCUAAUACCGCAUAACACUUACGAGUCAAAGCAGCAAUGCGCUUGGAGAGGAGUUCGCGGCAGAUUAGUUAGUUGGCGGGGUAAUGGCCCACCAAGACGAUGAUCUGUA